CUGGAAAGACCCACACCUGGUUAAUCAAUAAUCAGAAGGAGCCUCUUGCUUGCCCAGUGGAACUGCUUGCUUGACAAGUUUUCUUUAAGGGACAUGUCAUUGUAUUACUAAUGAAUAAUUAAGGGAGAAAAGCUUGAGAUGGGGGUACUCUUCUGGACUAGUCUCUCCCUCUGGAUGCAUCUUGUGUUCCCCACUGGCAGACGGGCUGUCACUGUGCCACUCGAGAACCACACUCAGCUUUGGAGGAAAAUUGUGUCACUAUCAAUCACUCACUUUGAUUAGUACCUUACUCUGUGUGUAAAGGUGUGUAAAAGCGGCAAUAUUGACCCCCUAAAUGGUAAGGCACUGGUAAAUGAGGGAAUGCCUGGGCUAAAGGAAACAAGUCUGCCUAGCCUGGACUCUAAGGGGGCUGAGACUUCCCGCUAACUACCUGAGAGGUUCUGAAGCUGAUCAGUUGGUCUCCUGACAUAGGAAACAAAAAUCUUAUUAAGGGCAGGAUCUGCUCCAGCCUUUCAGGGGCCAACCAUUGACUGACAAUAAAAGGACUGCAGGAGGGGUCUACCUGCUUGACACAUUGACUGGGCCUAGGACUCACAAGAAAGGUAUUCCUGGUCUCUUGUAAAAGUCUCACGUGAUUUAUUACAAAGGUGCCAGCCGCCAUAUGUCCCAAAAGCUAGAGACAAUUUCUGGCUGAUGUUUGAGAGAUGUCUUGGACUCUACUAAGUUGGCUAGGGUUAUGAAGCUGUGCAAAGGGAGGAAUGCUUUAGCUGUUACUGCAUUGAGGGGGCGUAAAUUCCCAGAGAGCAAAAGGUGGCUCUAGAAUCUUUUAAGGGAAACAAAUAUUCAUCAGUUUUUUCCUGCAAACAACUUCAGUCUGUUAAAGGGAAGGUCCUUACCGGUAUUUUGGACUUCCCUCAGAAACCUGAGAGCUGAAGUCAGAAGGCCCUCCUUAUGACUACCACCAUGGAGAAAGAAUGAGCAGCUCUAUCAGCGGUGUCCAGAAAGGUCUGCAGAGAAUUGAGAUGUUCUUGUGAGCAGCUGGCCCUCAGCAAUGAUCACCUGCAAUUGCUCCCUGUGGUCUGUUGGAAGAUGCUCAAUAAAAGCAUUC
Chrysemys picta bellii (western painted turtle) is the source of this 1108-nucleotide long non-coding RNA. RefSeq lists it as uncharacterized. Lineage: Eukaryota; Metazoa; Chordata; Testudines; Emydidae. The record is from RefSeq and is a predicted model, not a curated record.